GGUUAAGCGACUAAGCGUACACGGUGGAUGCCCUGGCAGUCAGAGGCGAUGAAGGACGUGCUAAUCUGCGAAAAGCGUCGGUAAGGUGAUAUGAACCGUUAUAACCGGCGAUGUCCGAAUGGGGAAACCCAGUGCAAUUCGUUGCACUAUCGUUAACUGAAUACAUAGGUUAACGAGGCGAACCGGGGGAACUGAAACAUCUAAGUACCCCGAGGAAAAGAAAUCAACCGAGAUUCCCCCAGUAGCGGCGAGCGAACGGGGAGCAGCCCAGAGUCUGAAUCAGCUUGUGUGUUAGUGGAACGGUCUGGAAAGUCCGACGGUACAGGGUGAUAGUCCCGUACACCAAAAUGCACAGGUUGUGAACUCGAAGAGUAGGGCGGGACACGUGGUAUCCUGUCUGAAUAUGGGGGGACCAUCCUCCAAGGCUAAAUACUCCUGACUGACCGAUAGUGAACCAGUACCGUGAGGGAAAGGCGAAAAGAACCCCGGCGAGGGGAGUGAAAAAGAACCUGAAACCGUGUACGUACAAGCAGUGGGAGCACCUUCGGGUGUGACUGCGUACCUUUUGUAUAAUGGGUCAGCGACUUAUAUUCUGUAGCAAGGUUAACCGUAUAGGGGAGCCGCAGGGAAACCGAGUCUUAACUGGGCGUUAAGUUGCAGGGUAUAGACCCGAAACCCGGUGAUCUAGCCAUGGGCAGGUUGAAGGUUGGGUAACACUAACUGGAGGACCGAACCGACUAAUGUUGAAAAAUUAGCGGAUGACUUGUGGCUGGGGGUGAAAGGCCAAUCAAACCGGGAGAUAGCUGGUUCUCCCCGAAAGCUAUUUAGGUAGCGCCUCGUGAACUCAUCUUCGGGGGUAGAGCACUGUUUCGGCUAGGGGGUCAUCCCGACUUACCAACCCGAUGCAAACUACGAAUACCGAAGAAUGUUAUCACGGGAGACACACGGCGGGUGCUAACGUCCGUCGUGAAGAGGGAAACAACCCAGACCGCCAGCUAAGGUCCCAAAGUCAUGGUUAAGUGGGAAACGAUGUGGGAAGGCACAGACAGCCAGGAUGUUGGCUUAGAAGCAGCCAUCAUUUAAAGAAAGCGUAAUAGCUCACUGGUCGAGUCGGCCUGCGCGGAAGAUGUAACGGGGCUAAACCAUGCACCGAAGCUGCGGCAGCGACACUAUGUGUUGUUGGGUAGGGGAGCGUUCUGUAAGCCUGCGAAGGUGUGCUGUGAGGCAUGCUGGAGGUAUCAGAAGUGCGAAUGCUGACAUAAGUAACGAUAAAGCGGGUGAAAAGCCCGCUCGCCGGAAGACCAAGGGUUCCUGUCCAACGUUAAUCGGGGCAGGGUGAGUCGACCCCUAAGGCGAGGCCGAAAGGCGUAGUCGAUGGGAAACAGGUUAAUAUUCCUGUACUUGGUGUUACUGCGAAGGGGGGACGGAGAAGGCUAUGUUAGCCGGGCGACGGUUGUCCCGGUUUAAGCAUGUAGGCUGGUUGUCCAGGCAAAUCCGGAUAAUCAAGGCUGAGGUGUGAUGACGAGGCACUACGGUGCUGAAGUAACAAAUGCCCUGCUUCCAGGAAAAGCCUCUAAGCAUCAGGUAACAUCAAAUCGUACCCCAAACCGACACAGGUGGUCAGGUAGAGAAUACCAAGGCGCUUGAGAGAACUCGGGUGAAGGAACUAGGCAAAAUGGUGCCGUAACUUCGGGAGAAGGCACGCUGGUGUGUAGGUGAAGUCCCUGCGGAUGGAGCUGAGACCAGUCGAAGAUACCAGCUGGCUGCAACUGUUUAUUAAAAACACAGCACUGUGCAAACACGAAAGUGGACGUAUACGGUGUGACGCCUGCCCGGUGCCGGAAGGUUAAUUGAUGGGGUUAUCCGUAAGGAGAAGCUCUUGAUCGAAGCCCCGGUAAACGGCGGCCGUAACUAUAACGGUCCUAAGGUAGCGAAAUUCCUUGUCGGGUAAGUUCCGACCUGCACGAAUGGCGUAAUGAUGGCCAGGCUGUCUCCACCCGAGACUCAGUGAAAUUGAACUCGCUGUGAAGAUGCAGUGUACCCGCGGCAAGACGGAAAGACCCCGUGAACCUUUACUAUAGCUUGACACUGAACAUUGAGCCUUGAUGUGUAGGAUAGGUGGGAGGCUUUGAAGCGUGGACGCCAGUCUGCGUGGAGCCAACCUUGAAAUACCACCCUUUAAUGUUUGAUGUUCUAACGUUGGCCCCUGACCGGGGUUGCGGACAGUGUCUGGUGGGUAGUUUGACUGGGGCGGUCUCCUCCCAAAGCGUAACGGAGGAGCACGAAGGUUAGCUAAUCCUGGUCGGACAUCAGGAGGUUAGUGCAAUGGCAUAAGCUAGCUUGACUGCGAGCGUGACGGCGCGAGCAGGUGCGAAAGCAGGUCAUAGUGAUCCGGUGGUUCUGAAUGGAAGGGCCAUCGCUCAACGGAUAAAAGGUACUCCGGGGAUAACAGGCUGAUACCGCCCAAGAGUUCAUAUCGACGGCGGUGUUUGGCACCUCGAUGUCGGCUCAUCACAUCCUGGGGCUGAAGUAGGUCCCAAGGGUAUGGCUGUUCGCCAUUUAAAGUGGUACGCGAGCUGGGUUUAGAACGUCGUGAGACAGUUCGGUCCCUAUCUGCCGUGGGCGCUGGAGAAUUGAGGGGGGCUGCUCCUAGUACGAGAGGACCGGAGUGGACGCAUCACUGGUGUUCGGGUUGUCAUGCCAAUGGCACUGCCCGGUAGCUAAAUGCGGAAGAGAUAAGUGCUGAAAGCAUCUAAGCACGAAACUUGCCCCGAGAUGAGUUCUCCCUGAGACUAUAAGUCUCCUGAAGGAACGUUAAAGACGAUGACGUUGAUAGGCCGGGUGUGUAAGCGCAGCGAUGCGUUGAGCUAACCGGUACUAAUGAACCGUGAGGCUUAACCUU
This 2902-nucleotide ribosomal RNA is filed under the name Klebsiella pneumoniae. RNAcentral describes it as "23S ribosomal RNA". It matches the Rfam family "Bacterial large subunit ribosomal RNA". The record is from RNAcentral. Lineage: Bacteria; Pseudomonadati; Pseudomonadota; Gammaproteobacteria; Enterobacterales; Enterobacteriaceae.